GGGCAUUUCAAAAAAGAUGAUAUCCAAAGGGCCAAUAAAUAUGAAAUAUAUUUAACCACAGGGAAAUGUACAUUAAAACCACAAGUAGACACUACUACAUACUUACUAGAGGAACUAAAAUAGACUGGCAAUACCAAGUGUUGGCAAGAAUGUGAAGCAACUGUGACUUUUAUAUUUUGCUGGUGGGAUUGUAAAUUGGUUCACGCACUUUUUAAAAACUUGUUUUAAAUUUUUUUUUUAAGCCAGUCAUAUUUAGCAGUGUUUUUGUUUUAUUAAGAGACAAGGUCUCAUUAUGUUGUCCAGGUUGGUCUUGAGUUCCUGGGCUCAAGCCAUCCUCCCCGCUUGUACUCCCAAAGUGCUAGAAUUACAGGAGUGAUCACUGACCAUGCCUGGUGGGUUCAUACACUUUGGAAAACAGUUUGGCAGCAUCUACCACUGUAUUAGCUAAAAGUAUGCCCACCCUAUGACCAGAAAAUUAACUUCUUAGGUGAGAGAAGUACGUGCAUAUAUCCAUCAAAAGACAUGUUCAAGAUUAUUUACAGCAACUUUAUUCACGGCAGCCAAAAUGUCAAAAUAGCUCAAGAGUAUCAACUGGAGAAUAAACAAAUUUUAUACUCAUAUAAUGAGGUAAUAUAUGGCAAUAGAAAGAAUGAGCAAUAGAUAACCCAACAGCAUGAAUUAAUCUCACAUUCAUUCUGCUGAACAGAAUAAGCCAGAUACAAAAGGUAACUUUGUAUAUGACUUCAUUUAUGCUAGAAUCAAGAGAGGCAAAACAAAUCCAUGGUUAAACUUUCAGGGGGUGGAGGGGUGGGGGUAGGGAGGAACCAUCUGGGAUAUCUUUAUUAGAUAGAGAAAUGUCCUGGCCGGGCACGGUGGCUCAUGCCUGUAAUCCCAGCACUUUGGGAGGCCGAGGCAGGUGGAUCACGAGGUCAAGAGAUCGAGAAGAGACCAUCCUGGCCAACAUGGUGAAACUCGUCCCUACUAGAAAUGCAAAAAUUAGCCAGGUGUGGUGGCAUGCACCUGUAGUCCCAGCUACUCAGGAGCCUGAGGCAAGAGAAUUGCUUGAAUCUGGGAGGCAGAGGUUGCAGUGAGCCAAGAUCGCGCCACUGCACUCCAGCCUGCCAACAGAGCGAGACUCUGUCUCAAAAAACAAACAAACAAAAAAACAAAUGUUCUAUAUCUUGCUGAGCUCAGUGGCUCACACCUGUAAUUCCAGCCCUUUGGGAGGCCAAGGCAGGCGGAUCACCUGAGGUCAGGAGUUCAAGACCAGCCUGACCAACAUGGAGAAACCCCGUCUGUACUAAAAAUACAAAAAUUAGCUAUGCGUGGUGGCACAUGCCUGUAAUCCCAGCUAAUCCGGAGGCUGAGGCAAGAGAAUCGCUUGAAUCCAGGAGGUGGAAGUUGCAGUGAGCUGAGAUUGAGGCAUUGCACUCCAGCCUGGGCAACAAGAGUGAAACUCCGUCUGGAAAAAAAAAAAA
RNAcentral lists this long non-coding RNA (1478 nucleotides) under Macaca fascicularis (crab-eating macaque). Its description in RNAcentral is "lncRNA (ENSMFAG00000064492.1)". Lineage: Eukaryota; Metazoa; Chordata; Mammalia; Primates; Cercopithecidae. The record is from RNAcentral.